RNAcentral lists this long non-coding RNA (982 nucleotides) under Anser brachyrhynchus (Pink-footed goose). Its description in RNAcentral is "lncRNA (ENSABRG00000004438.1)". Lineage: Eukaryota; Metazoa; Chordata; Aves; Anseriformes; Anatidae. The record is from RNAcentral.
UGUGUUUUUUGUUUUGUUUUGUUUUGUUUUUUACUUAAUAGGCGAGAUAAGGUAAAGGUUAGAUGUUUUAUUGAAGUAAGCAUGGGUCAAUGGCAAGUUGAGAAAAAUACCCAUCUCUUCAGGUAUUUAAAAGGUGUUUCAACUCUUAUCUGCAGUAGUGGUUAACACCAAAAAUGCAGCUUAUGACAGUAAUGCUUUUGAAACUCCUGACUUUUUUCUUUACACUUUAGAGAGCUGAGGAAAGCUACACGUCACAUAAGAAAAGGAUGAAUUCAGUGAUUGAAUUCAAUCAUUCAAGGCUGAAGAGGAGCCAGAAAGACUUAUUCCCCAGUAAGCUACAACACCGUUGAGACUGACACUGUUUUAACUGCAUAUCUGAGAGCUGCUGGUGGGACAAAUGGAUCAUGGUGUGGUUUUUAUGCUUUCUUUUGUUGGUUUAUGGAUUUGUUCUGGAGCAAAGCAACCCGUACUGAAAUUAUUAGUCCAACAGAGAGCACCAAAUAGCUCUGAGAGAUCAGUUUCAGGAAGAUUAAAAACAUAGCAAUAUUUCAUCACCUAUCGAGUACCACGUAAGCUGUGUGUAGGAUGACUUUUUGAGCUGAAGACUUCAAACCGGAAAAGCAGAAUACUUUUAGAUACUACCUUCUGUAAAUACAGCCAUGCAGAAGACAAGUAAGUAGGUGAAGUUAAUUUCGGAUUCUUUUUAACCAAUUUUACACUGAUAUAGUUCAAGGUAGAAAUGAUCUUUAAAGUCAGCCUUAUCCUCAUUAUGCGUUUGUAUAUAAUUCAAAUUAAAAAGACUAAAUAUAAUGAAACUACUGUUUUCUACACUGAUUGCUAAUUCCAAAUUGUUCUAUAACAUUUUAUUGGGAUAACUAAAUAGCUGAAAGUUAACUUCUAUAAGUGUAUGAAAACGGUUUCUGCAACAUGAAGAGGGAUGGGCUAGAAAGAUCUAAAAUAUUACAGAAAAAGAUUCAGAAAG